GCCUACGGGGCGCAGCAGUGAGGAAUAUUGGUCAAUGGGCGGAAGCCUGAACCAGCCAAGUCGCGUGAGGGAAUAAGGCCCUACGGGUCGUAAACCUCUUUUGCCGGGGAGCAAGGGCGGGGACGUGUCCCGGCCCGGAGAGUACCCGGAGAAAAAGCAUCGGCUAACUCCGUGUCAGCAGCCGCGGUAAUACGGAGGAUGCGAGCGUUAUCCGGAUUUAUUGGGUUUAAAGGGUGCGUAGGCGGGCUUUUAAGUCAGCGGUAAAAAUUCGGGGCUCAACCCCGUCAGGCCGUUGAAACUGGGGG
This 305-nucleotide ribosomal RNA is filed under the name uncultured bacterium. RNAcentral's name for it is "bacterial SSU rRNA". It matches the Rfam family "Bacterial small subunit ribosomal RNA", at positions 337 to 639 of the family's 1533-position model. The record is from RNAcentral.